This 322-nucleotide long non-coding RNA is filed under the name Androctonus crassicauda. Lineage: Eukaryota; Metazoa; Arthropoda; Arachnida; Scorpiones; Buthidae. The record is from RNAcentral.
GCUGCUUAUGUGGAGCAGUCCCCAGAUGUUAAGGUUGACUCCACUAGCAAGACUAGUCCACGAUGGGCACAUUUGUCUGGGGCGGCUAGGCGCAAACGGAGGAGAGCCAAGAGGGAAGCUGCUGAUAUCGGUGGUUCUCAGCUGCCGAGCGGCACUUCCCAACUGGCUUUUGUAUCUGAUUCUCCUGCUGAUACUCUGGUGUUGGCAAGAGAACCAGAUCUGCAAGGUCUACCCCUUCUGAGGAGGUGAGGCCUGCUAAGAGGUCUCAGGGUUUUCAGUCUGGAUCUUACUCUGAAGCUUUGGCUUUUAGGCUAGCCAUCAU